RNAcentral lists this ribosomal RNA (884 nucleotides) under uncultured bacterium. RNAcentral describes it as "bacterial SSU rRNA". It matches the Rfam family "Bacterial small subunit ribosomal RNA", at positions 27 to 906 of the family's 1533-position model. The record is from RNAcentral.
GAACGAACGCUGGCGGCGCGCCUAAUACAUGCAAGUCGAACGAGAAUGUGUAGCAAUACACAUGUACAGUGGCGAACGGGCGAGGACUACAUGGGUAACCUACCCUCGAGUGGGGAAUAACUAGCCGAAAGGUUAGCUAAUACCGCGUACGCUUCCGGGACUGCGGUUCCGGAAGGAAAGCGAUACCGUGGGUAUCGCGCUCUUGGAUGGGCUCAUGCCCUAUCAGCUUGUUGGUGAGGUAACGGCUCACCAAGGCUUCGACGGGUGGCUGAUCUGAGAGGAUGAUCAGCCACACUGGCACUGCGACACGGGCCAGACUCCUACGGGAGGCAGCAGUAAGGAAUAUUGCGCAAUGGGCGAAAGCCUGACGCAGCGACGCCGCGUGGGGGAUGAAGGUCUUCGGAUUGUAAACCCCUUUCGGGAGGGAAGAUGGGAUGGGGUAACCCAUUCGGACGGUACCUCCAGAAGCAGCCACGGCUAACUUCGUGCCAGCAGCCGCGGUAAUACGAAGGUGGCAAGCGUUGUUCGGAUUUACUGGGCGUACAGGGAGCGUAGGCGGUUGGGUAAGCCCUCCGUGAAAUCUCCAGGCUUAACCUGGAAAGUGCAGAGGGGACUGCUCAGCUAGAGGAUGGGAGAGGAGCGCGGAAUUCCCGGUGUAGCGGUGAAAUGCGUAGAGAUCGGGAGGAAGGCCGGUGGCGAAGGCGGCGCUCUGGAACAUUUCUGACGCUGAGGCUCGAAAGCGUGGGGAGCAAACAGGAUUAGAUACCCUGGUAGUCCACGCCUUAAACGAUGGAUACUAAGUGUCGGCGGGUUACCGCCGGUGCCGCAGCUAACGCAGUAAGUAUCCCGCCUGGGAAGUACGGCCCGCAGGGUUGAACUCAAAU